Camelus ferus (Wild Bactrian camel) is the source of this 72-nucleotide transfer RNA. It matches the Rfam family "tRNA". Rfam says of the family: Transfer RNA (tRNA) molecules are approximately 80 nucleotides in length. Their secondary structure includes four short double-helical elements and three loops (D, anti-codon, and T loops). Lineage: Eukaryota; Metazoa; Chordata; Mammalia; Artiodactyla; Camelidae. The record is from Rfam.
GAGGGUAUAGCUCAGUGGUAGAGCACAUGCUUAGCAUACACAAGGUCCUGGGUUCAAUCCCUGGUACCCCCU